UUAACAGACUAGGAUAGUCCUACAUAGACCUUUUAGUUGCAUGUUAGGUCGACGAUCACUAAAAUCCGACUUGCAACCAUUAGACGAAGAAUUAGAAAAAACUCUUAGGACUAUCCAAGUUAAAAAUAUGGCUGCACCUGAUGAGGCUAAUCCUCCACGCUCAUUGAGAGAAUAUUUCACUCCAUCCUCGUAUACCUACUCUCCAUACAUUCAAGCACCUCCAGUAGAAGCUACCCAAUAUGAGAUUAAGUCUAGCAUUAUUCAAAUGUUGCCAUCAUUCUAUGGACUUAGUAACGAGGACCCAUACAAACACUUGGAUG
Molecule: long non-coding RNA, 320 nt
Filed under: Elaeis guineensis (African oil palm)
Lineage: Eukaryota; Viridiplantae; Streptophyta; Magnoliopsida; Arecales; Arecaceae
Description: long non-coding RNA (EGUI_LNC041320)
Source: RNAcentral